CGAUAACGAACGAGACCUUAACCUGCUAAAUAGCCCGUAUUGCUUUGGCAGUACGCUGGCUUCUUAGAGGGACUAUCGGCUCAAGCCGAUGGAAGUUUGAGGCAAUAACAGGUCUGUGAUGCCCUUAGAUGUUCUGGGCCGCACGCGCGCUACACUGACAGAGCCAGCGAGUUCUCCCUUGGCCGAAAGGUCCGGGUAAUCUUGUUAAACUCUGUCGUGCUGGGGAUAGGGCAUUGCAAUC
This 241-nucleotide ribosomal RNA is filed under the name uncultured fungus. RNAcentral describes it as "partial small subunit ribosomal RNA". It matches the Rfam family "Eukaryotic small subunit ribosomal RNA", at positions 1326 to 1591 of the family's 1831-position model. The record is from RNAcentral. Lineage: Eukaryota; Fungi.